Long non-coding RNA from Cebus imitator (Panamanian white-faced capuchin), 1337 nucleotides. RefSeq lists it as uncharacterized. The transcript has 3 exons. The record is from RefSeq and is a predicted model, not a curated record. NCBI's taxonomy places the organism in Eukaryota, Metazoa, Chordata, Mammalia, Primates, Cebidae.
UGAAACAAAUGUGACAAGAAUUCUCUGUUAGAAGAACAGUUGAAUAAGGAUUUCAGAGAAUGAGAAGCACAGAAAAGGAGAAUUCCAAUUGAAUAAAGUCAUGGGAAGGGACACCCCAUCUGCUGGGCUUUAAGAUUAUCUAUUUUAGAUAAACUGAAAUGAAGCCAAGGAGGAAGAUGACUUGGAGUUUGUGUGAAGCAAGUGGACCUCUACAAAUAGAGAAGGUCAAGACAUGGAAUGACUAAUCUCACCUAAGUAGGAAUCUCCCUCUUUGUGAUACAUAUACCAAUGAAUAGAAGCCUAUUCAUUACAGUAUCGCUUAAAACAGGAAAAUAUUGAAAACCACAUAUUAAGUGAUCUGACAGAGAUCCCUCCUGAGUGCUUGGCAGCUCCUUUCAAUUUCUAUUUGUUCUGCAGAAUCUCUCUUGUUUUAUGACAAGAUUGGGAUGAUGCCAGUAGCUCAACAGUGAAAGCGAGAGCUCGGGAAGGAACAAGAGUCAUGCCUGCUGCCCCAAUUCCUGCAUUCCAGCUUCCUUCUCUCUUCUUCUUUGUGAGAUACUCCUGACAUGUAGCAUGGUAAAAGGGAAGUUACAUUACUUUAAGAGGUAACAGGUAAUGGAUUAAAAAAUUAGAAAGAAUGAAUAAGACCCAGCAUUUGCUGGCACAAAAGGGUGACUGUAGUAAAAAGUAAUUUAAGUGUUCGUUUUGAAAGAACUAAGGGAGCAUAAUUGGAUUGUCUGUAACACCAAGGAUAAAUGCUUGAGAUGAAGGAUACUCCAUUUACCCUGAUGUGGUUUUUAUACAUUGCAUGCCUGUAUCAAAAUGUCUCUUGUACCUCAUAAAUAUAUACAUCUACUAUGUUUCCACAAAAAUUAGAAAAAAAAAUUUAAAAAGAAAAAAAAUGAAUUGACACUUGUGUUGGGAUUCUGGCUAUGGCACCUGGGAAUAUGAGUAAUUGAACAUCUUUGAGGCUCAGGUACUUUUAUCUGGGAAACAGGAAUAAUAAUUUUUUUUUAAUUUAAUUAGUUAAUGGGAGGGUUGAAACAGAUAUUGUAUGUCAAAGUUACCUUUGCAUUAGAAAUGUUGAACAAAUGGUAUUCAUCCUCCUCACCUAAAAAAAUUAAAAUGAUGUAACAAUGUGAGAAAUAUAAAGAGUGCUAUCUUCUUUCUGGCUGAAUUUAAUUCAUUUCCACUCAAUACAUUCUUUAAUUAGGUUGCCAUAGCUAAUGGAAAUUUGGUGAAUGGAGAGGGAAAUCUGGGAUUAUUGAUGGUGAUUCUUUGCAUUAAUUUCGUGCACAGGUAUAUAGGCCUGCACUUGUACUGUGGUCAUAAUUUAA